AUCAGGUUGAGAUCUGAAGCUUCUGCUGGGCACAUGCACUUCUGCAUGCCAUCAGUUCCUGCCUGCAACUCUGCUGUUUCUCAACCUACAGAGCCUGAAAUGAAUCCAUGCCAGCCUGUGAGGCACACCCUCAGCUGGCAGCUGUGAUGUAAUUUUUUAUUGACAACGUAUGCUCUGAAUACAGG
RNAcentral lists this long non-coding RNA (185 nucleotides) under Fukomys damarensis (Damara mole-rat). RNAcentral describes it as "lncRNA (ENSFDAG00000023745.1)". The record is from RNAcentral. Lineage: Eukaryota; Metazoa; Chordata; Mammalia; Rodentia; Bathyergidae.